UGGAAGUAUGGCCUGGUUUAUUUUUUUUUUAUUAUUUUUUAAAGCUUACAUCAAAAUAAGUACAUGUGCUUGCAAUUUGCUAGUUGAAAGCACAGCUAUGGGGGUUUUUUUUGCCGAAUCGUUAAAUAUCUGUCAUGUUACGAUAGGAACAAAUAUUCUCAUGAACCGUCGCACCAGAUAAUGUAAAGCAGUGCUGAUGCAGAGAUACCUUCCCAGCCUUGUACCUUGUAUCACCAUUCCUGCCUCUUUCAUGCUGUCAGCUGGCAACCCAUCACCUGAGUGCUGACUUGGGCCAGCAGUCCAUGUUUUUCCUUCAGAUUAACCCCGUUCUUGGAUUUGCCGGCUGAGACAAUGUUUGGAGUAGAGUCACAUGAUCAAUCUGCAUUUUCUUGCUGUCUUCCUGAGCUGUUGCACCGCUCUUUUUCAUAGCAGAUUUACACUGAAGAGUGGUGAAUAAAGAUGAGGUUAAUCCGGCAUUGUUAAAUCUAUUCAAGGAGACAACCUGGAGAUUGCCAUGGAAACAGGUUCUACAGACGAAAAGCGUAAUCCUACUUUGAAAUACUGUAUAUGGACCUUUACCACUGCGUGGCUUACAGAGUCACACUGUACACAAACAUGAUGCUGCAGCAGAGGAAUGGCAAACCUGUCUCCCGUCUCAUCCAGUGAUAAUUAUGCUGCCACAUCCUCCCACUUACAGCCCAGAGCAUCACGCAUCGCAUCUCCUUCCCCUCCACCUGCUGAAUCUUCUCCCCCCAGCCCCCAGCUCGGUUGUCACCUGGGUGUAAGAGGGACCCGAGGCCCUGCCUGUGGAACCAAGGUGGUGGCUCUGGCAGGAGCAUCACAGAUUUGGUGUUGCCACAAGUGAGCACCUCACAAGCUACAGGACAACUGACCACGUGUCUGAAGUCAGGAGUGAGGGUCCCAGUAUCCACCCUCCAAAAAAAUCAGCAGGAUCUAGGGAGUGCUUCCUGGGACGUGGCCUCAGGGAACGGGUGACCACUGUGGUGAGCAUGGAGGGGUGCCCCCUCCUGCCAUGCAGGUAUUUUUGGCAGGUCACAAAGGAGCGCUGUUCUCCAUAUGCACCUGCCCACCACCCUCCAGAGCUUGUUAGAUGGUGAAGAGGGAAAGGACAGCAGCAGGUAAGAAUUUCAUGUAACUAUUUACUAUGGGAAACCCGUUGAGCUGUGAAGCAAGAGAUUUUCUGGAAGAGAAUACUGCAUAUAUAUCUAGCAUACAGGUAUACAUAGAUUUAUAUAUAUAUCUCAAACCUUAGUUUUGCUCCCUUUUCAUAUUGACAUUUGCCCCCAAUUUCUGGACACAUCUCUAGACUUCUCAAAGGAAUUAAAGGUUCAUCUGCUCCUUUUUCAGGUCUAUGCAAGUAAUGCACAGAUGUAGGCGUGCUCUGUGCCUUUAUAGGCCUUACACACAUACCUCUUUUAGACAAGUAAAACAUUCUUGCUGUUUUCAUAUCACUGGGCUGUGCUCAUCUAUCAGUAAAAUACGCGUUUCGAUAUUCCCACAGCCUGUAACAGGCAUCACAAUUUCCUGUUAUUUGGUAAUUCCUGUUUUGUAAUUGUUUAGAAAAACUCUCACUUUGCUUUUGCAAAAUUUAACAUUCACGGGAAAAA
This is a long non-coding RNA of Calidris pugnax (ruff), 1628 nucleotides long. RefSeq lists it as uncharacterized. NCBI's taxonomy places the organism in Eukaryota, Metazoa, Chordata, Aves, Charadriiformes, Scolopacidae. The transcript is spliced from 4 exons. The record is from RefSeq and is a predicted model, not a curated record.